CUUCUUUCUUCAAAUUUGAAAUUCUUUCUUUACCAACAUAUUCAGCUGCUGGGCAUUGCUUGGACGUCUUCCUCGAGAAUCUUUCCUACGCGAUUUGGGCUGCUGCUCGAACUUACACAUGGAGGAGUUAAUUAUGAUAUUUCCAUGAUGAAAGUACAGGAUAAGUCUAACAGCAUAUUCUCAACGGCAUGUCAAGGUAUUUCUACCGACAUUGAUGGAGCAAAGGAAUUCUGCAGUAGUGGUAAACUAAAUUCUCCUCCACGGUGUCAUAAUGUCUCCAAUUUAGAUGAAUUGAACAUUUUGCAGACAAAGAAAAAGGGAAAGGCUUUACACUACGCAAAGUCUUCACACAACAGUACUCCUCUGUUGUUUGAUGUUUGUGAGUUGUACAUCAAAAUUUCGAUUAAAUGUUAUAUUACUAACUUCACUCUUUGUUUCCCUCAUCAUUUUUCUCUCAUCAUUCAAGUUAAUUAUGAAACUUCAAUGAUGAGGGAUCAUGGUGGUGGUAAAAGUGAAAUGCAAACUACACACAAUAAUCCUCCCCCCAAAUCAGGUAAGUACUGCUGAUUCUUUUACAAUGAAUUUAAAUCAAUUUUUUUGUAUUGGUCAUGGUGAUUUCAGUCGUUCACCUGAUUUCAGUGUUGGUUGACAAAGAAAAUACAAAUAUACGUCAACCAUUAGCCAAACAGAGCGUCGCCGCUCAUUGUCAAAUGAAAUCUAUAAUGAAGCGUAAACCACUGUCACCUCUAAAUGAUCGUUCCAGACUGAAUUGUGACAUGAAGAAGCCGGAAGUGAAUAAUUCACCGCUGAUGGAGACACAGAUACCUCCGCAGGCCAAACGAAAGAACUCUCAGCCUAAUCCUAGUGAUAACAUAAAGCAUUAUUUAUAAUCACUCCUAUCAUCUUACCCUUAAAUCAAUUUGCUUUUUCAUUCUAAUGAUAAUCCAUCUGCAGUUAUCCAAAAAUGUCCAAGGAGGCCUGUAUACAGUGGAGGUGUUGCUGAAUAAACUCCAAAGUCUACUUUGUGUGAUGUUUUUAAUUCCGCUGGUGCAUCUUCUACCAAUGCUGAAAAGACACACACAAAGAAGUCUUUUCAAUAUGCCCCACAAAUUCUUAAUUUUGAGGACCCUGCAGUGCAUCCAGAGCAUCUACAAAACUUGGAGGAAGCUGGUAUGCACCUAUAUUCUAUGCUUUCUUUUUUAUAGCUUCAGACAUGGCUAUAUAAGAUUAUAAAUUCUAAUAUCGUAGAAUAUGCCCGUGUUGGUGGUGUCGAAGAGGACAGAUCUGAUUUUUAUGAGCAUGAUGGUAACUUAUCUUCCUGUUUUUGUUUCAAUAGUACUUUCACCCAAAUAUAUUUGCCACAAAUAUACUACGUGUAAACAGACUAUGCAGAAGAGUUUGAUGGUGAAGAUUGUUGGUAUGAGGAAAGAAUGAAAAGAUUCAUGGUUAAAUCCUCCAACAAUAUUCUUCCCAUUACUAAAAACAAAGGUCUGAUAACCGGGAAUCAACCGACAUGCUUUCUUGAAUGUACGAGGAGCCUCCUAAAAAUUAAAUUAACAUAAAUACAGUGCUGUGUGAAUCAUACAAACCAAAGAGAAACCAACAAAAAUAUACAUAUUGGAAACCCUAACUUACCAACUCAUCAGAUAUGGGAUUGGACUCCUUCACAAAAUUCACAAACUUUAGACCCCCAUUCUUAAGAGAUACUAAAAAAACAAAAAUGAAAAACAAUUACACUUUAUUACGUGGCACUUGCUAGAGAAAUCAUAAUCGAGAUGUCAUGAGAAUUUUACCAACUUUGGGAUGGCUAUUCUGCAUGUAGUGAACAACAUUAGGGUAUUCAAUCUCUGUCAAAUCUAGCCCAAUAAUGUACACAUUGAAGUCAAAGAUGCCAUUGACCUCAAAAAUGAGCAUUUCACCCCCUUCCAACUCAAAGUCGUCAUACAUAGUUGAAAGCCCGUAAAAGGUCCCUUCCUCAGCUAAGAACUGAACAACAAUCUCAUACCCAUUGUGGAAUUUGAAAAGCAAACUGGGUGCAAACCGGUUACCGUAGGUUCUGAUUAUCUCCCGCGGAACAUUCUGUUUAAAAAACUCAAGUCAAAAACGGAACAAAUCCUAACUCAGAUUUAGUUAAUGCACAAAAUACUCAAAAGCUCAUCUGAAUUGGUCUCCGCAGCUGUGAGGAACUUCACGAAUUUCGGAAGAACUAGACCAUAGGAUUCCAUACCUAAAAUUUUCAGAAAAAAAUAGAAUCCUAUCACAAUACAUGCAAGUACAUUUAUGAAACAGCAUUACAAAAUAGGGAUUCGAAACACAUGUAGGAACAAUCGGACCUUGACCUGCGUUUUAUGAUACUAAUUAAAAGUUCGAAAAGAAUAUUAACCUUAAUCGUUACGGCGCAAGCGAUUCAAAUCCACGUCUUCUACUGUAUUCCCUGGUUCUCCUUGGACGAAGUGUGGCCUUCGAUCUCCCAAGGUGUGCCUCUCCUUAAAGCUCCGAAAACCCAAAACCCAAGCUGGCUCCUUGAGAAAAACGACUGCCUCUCUCAAACCCUAGGAUGUGAAUUCGUUUUUUGUGUGUCUUUCAGCUUUAGGAGAACGAGAAUAUAUAUAGGAUACAGUAGGGAUCAUGGACCAUUAGGUCAGGCCUUCCAAUGACAUUCAGGGCCACGCUCAAUGUCAUUAAAUAUUAAUUCAAUCCACUAAAGAAUUAAUAUUUGCACUACCUUUCCUAAUUCCGUAAAUUAAUUACUCCCUCCGUCCCAUUUUAAUUGACACUUAUUCCUUUUUGGGACGUCCCAAAAAGAAUGAACCUAUUAAACUUACUAUUUUUGAACACCACUUUUCAUUAUUACACCCACUACUUUCUUCCACUAUCUCUAUUUAAUAAUAAUAUAAACACUAUUACACCCACUACUUUCCUCCUCUAUCUCACAUCAAUUAUUAAAAUUUUGAUGGGUCCCACCACUUUACCAACUUUUCAACUAAUUUAAUUUCUUUUACUAUUUUUUCUUAAUCUCCGUGAAAGUCAAAGCAGUUCAAUCUUUUCGGGACGGAGGGAGUAUUUAAUUCGGCUCACAUAUUAAUUGCUUAUAAAUUCCCCAUGUUUAAGAUAUCGGAUGUCUAAUAAUUAAAUUAAUUUCUGACAAUUAAUUUAAUCAAUAUCUUUUAUCCUUGAUCAUCCACUCAACCUUAUAAUUAUGCAAGAACAAAUUUGCAUGCAGGACUAAAGCAUAAUUAUCUUUAUGAGCUUUCAAGAGGACAUCAUCACCCGAAUAUAUUUUUCGGACAUGGUUUCCUUUUAUAGUUAAUAUCCCACUCUGUAUAUAAUGUCAUUGCCCAAUACAUAAAUUCGUAAUUUAAAAUAAUUACUUAACUUAUGAGUCAAGGCAUGUGCAUUAAAUACAAGUGUCAAUCACUAUAUUCGGAUCAAGAACCUAAGCAAUAAUAACAUCGUAGAAUCUUAGUUCUUUAUUGUCAGAAUUAAAGAAACAAUUAUUUUACUAUUUUGAUCCCGUUCAAUAUAUACAAAGUAUACAAGUAUUAUUCAAUAGUCAAGAUAAACUAUUUCUAAAUAAUACUUCAGCUGUUCCAGUGGUUUGUCUAACACCACCUCGACUGUGAACCUUUAUUAUAUUAUAUAAGAAAUUCGACAAUCUAACCUUCUGCUAUCCCAUUUGAUACUAGAUUGUCUAUAAUAUAUAAUAUACAGACAAUGUGAAAACAUGCAUUCAAGAUUCUCAAAUAAUUGUUAUAUACUUCAAACGAAUAUUUCAGUAUAACCCUAACAACACAUACCUAUGAAUGACUGAAAUGUACAAGGAAGAGGAUGAGAGAAUUAAGAGAGAGAGUGCAAGAGAUGAUUUUCAAAACGGGACUGUUACCACUCGAACACUUAAAUUCGCAUACCUGUAAUUAGGUUGUAAGUAGAGUAAAUGGGGCUAAUUAAUGUAAUACUGACCUCUUUUACAAAAAUAUAUUUUAUUCAUGUUCCGUUUUUGUUUUGAAACAUUUAAAAUUUAAAAAAUGCAACUUAUAAGCAAAAAAUUGAAUAUUAUUCAUGUCCUGUUUUAUAUUCUUAUAAAACAAUACCUCUUUAAUUUAAUAUAAACUCAAUCAUUAAAAAAUUUAACAUGGACAAAUGCAACUUCAAAUAAACAAACAGCAUACAUCUAAUGAACAAUAAUUUUAUGACUCAAAAAUUGCAUUUUUUAAUGCCAUGUUUUUUGUAUUUUGGGAGGGGAAAAAAGGAACAAUAAUUUUAUGUCACCUUCAUCACAAAUAAAAGAUUUAACAAUAAUUUUAUGUCUUCAAACAUUUUAUUAUAAAAAAAUAAAAAAUUCCAAGCGUAGCGGGUAAGAAUACUAGU
Long non-coding RNA from Daucus carota subsp. sativus, 4368 nucleotides. RefSeq lists it as uncharacterized. The transcript has 4 exons. Lineage: Eukaryota; Viridiplantae; Streptophyta; Magnoliopsida; Apiales; Apiaceae. The record is from RefSeq and is a predicted model, not a curated record.